UACGGAGGGGGCGAGCGUUAUUCGGAAUUAUUGGGCGUAAAGGGCGCGUAGGCGGCCUUGUAAGUCAAAGGUGAAAUCCCUCGGCUCAACUGAGGAACUGCCUUUGAAACUGCAAGGCUUGAGGCCGGGAGGGGGUAGCGGAAUUCCCAAUGUAGCGGUGAAAUGCGUAGAUAUUGGGAGGAACACCAGUGGCGAAGGCGGCUACCUGGACCGGUUCUGACGCUGAGGCGCGAAAGCGUAGGUAGCAAACAGG
This 253-nucleotide ribosomal RNA is filed under the name uncultured bacterium. RNAcentral describes it as "partial 16S ribosomal RNA". It matches the Rfam family "Bacterial small subunit ribosomal RNA", at positions 524 to 776 of the family's 1533-position model. The record is from RNAcentral.